Molecule: long non-coding RNA, 287 nt
Filed under: Brassica rapa (field mustard)
Lineage: Eukaryota; Viridiplantae; Streptophyta; Magnoliopsida; Brassicales; Brassicaceae
Description: long non-coding RNA (BRAP_LNC005224)
Source: RNAcentral
UGAACCGUCCUACGAAGAUCCUCCGGGACUUGAAACCUGGAUUUUCUGUAAUCUGCAAUAAAUUGCAUAGUCUGGGAUUCGAACCCCAGACCUGUGUGUAGAAGACUUUAAACCUAAACCAAUAGGCUACGGUGCUUUCACAAAUUAAAACUUGUUAUCAAGACACCGAAAGAUAGUUUUUUACACUAAAGCAAGAGAAUAUAGUUUUUUUUUUCCACACAAUCGAUUUUCUACUUUUUUACUGUUUCUUUUUUACUUUUGAUUUUUAUAUUAGUAUUUACCUUGAG